This 53-nucleotide non-coding RNA is filed under the name unclassified sequences. RNAcentral describes it as "chromate-resist RNA". It matches the Rfam family "chrB-b RNA". The record is from RNAcentral.
CCGGGGACCGCAGACUCCCGGUAUUCCCAAGACGGACUCCGUCCAAGUUCUGC